CUAUGCUGCAACCAAAAGCUUUCUUGAUCAUGGAUGGUGAAGAUAUACCAGAUUUUUCAAGUUUAAAGGAGGAAACUGCUUAUUGGAAGGAACUUUCCUUGAAGUAUAAGCAAAGCUUCCAGGAAGCUCGGGAUGAGCUAGUUGAAUUCCAGGAAGGAAGCAGAGAAUUAGAAGCAGAGUUGGAGGCACAAUUAGUACAGGCUGAA
RNAcentral lists this long non-coding RNA (206 nucleotides) under Homo sapiens (human). RNAcentral describes it as "HSALNT0236923". Lineage: Eukaryota; Metazoa; Chordata; Mammalia; Primates; Hominidae. The record is from RNAcentral.